UACGAAGGGGGCUAGCGUUGCUCGGAAUCACUGGGCUUAAAGGGCGCGUAGGCGGGUGCUCAAGUCUGUGGUGAAAUCCUCCGGCUCAACCGGAGAACGGCCAUGGAUACUGGGUGCCUCGAGGGUGAUAGGGGUAUGCGGAACUAUCGGUGGAGCGGUGAAAUGCGUUGAUAUCGAUAGGAACUCCGGUGGCGAAGGCGGCAUACUGGAUCACUUCUGACGCUGAGGCGCGAAAGCCAGGGGAGCGAACGGG
This 253-nucleotide ribosomal RNA is filed under the name uncultured bacterium. RNAcentral's name for it is "partial 16S ribosomal RNA". It matches the Rfam family "Bacterial small subunit ribosomal RNA", at positions 524 to 776 of the family's 1533-position model. The record is from RNAcentral.